RNAcentral lists this ribosomal RNA (301 nucleotides) under uncultured bacterium. RNAcentral describes it as "partial 16S ribosomal RNA". It matches the Rfam family "Bacterial small subunit ribosomal RNA", at positions 510 to 808 of the family's 1533-position model. The record is from RNAcentral.
AGCCGCCGCGGGAAUACGUAGGUGGCAAGCGUUGUCCGGAAUUAUUGGGCGUAGAGCGCGCGCAGGUGGUUUAAUAAGUCUGAUGUGAAAGCCCACGGCUCAACCGUGGAGGGUCAUUGGAAACUGUUAAACUUGAGUGCAGGAGAGAAAAGUGGAAUUCCUAGUGUAGCGGUGAGAUGCGUAGAGAUUAGGAGGAACACCAGUGGCGAAGGCGGCUUUUUGGCCUGUAACUGACACUGAGGCGCGAAAGCGUGGGGAGCAAAUGGGAUUAGAUACCCGCGUAGUCCCUGUCUCUUAUACC